GCCUGAUCCAGCAAUGCCGCGUGAGUGAAGAAGGCCUUCGGGUUGUAAAGCUCUUUUGUCAGGGAAGAAAAGGCUACGGAUAAUACCUGUGGCUCAUGACGGUACCUGAAGAAUAAGCACCGGCUAACUACGUGCCAGCAGCCGCGGUAAUACGUAGGGUGCAAGCGUUAAUCGGAAUUACUGGGCGUAAAGCGUGCGCAGGCGGUUUUGUAAGACUGUCGUGAAAUCCCCGGGCUCAACCUGGGAAUGGCGAUGGUGACUGCAAGGCUAGAGUUUGGCAGAGGGGGGUAGAAUUCCACGUGUAGCAGUGAAAUGCGUAGAUAUGUGGAGGAACACCGAUGGCGAAGGCAGCCCCCUGGGUCAAAACUGACGCUCAUGCACGAAAGCGUGGGGAGCAAACAGGAUUAGAUACCCUGGUAGUCCACGCCCUAAACGAUGUCUACUAGUUGUCGGGUCUUAAUUGACUUGGUAACGCAGCUAACGCGUGAAGUAGACCGCCUGGGGAGUACGGUCGCAAGAUUAAAACUCAAAGGAAUUGACGGGGACCCGCACAAGCGGUGGAUGAUGUGGAUUAAUUCGAUGCAACGCGAAAAACCUUACCUACCCUUGACAUGGAUGGAAUCCCGGAGAGAUUU
Molecule: ribosomal RNA, 635 nt
Filed under: Duganella sp. Se2Ps_2280
Lineage: Bacteria; Pseudomonadati; Pseudomonadota; Betaproteobacteria; Burkholderiales; Oxalobacteraceae
Description: bacterial SSU rRNA
Rfam family: Bacterial small subunit ribosomal RNA
Source: RNAcentral